UGAGUUUUUCCCUCCCACUUCACUCUUCUUUUCUAACAAACUCUAAUUCUUUGUCUGCCACCUCUAAACACACACACACAAGAAACACAUGUAUCUUCUUUGCCUCCCCAUCAAUUAAACAUACAAACAAACACACUUCACUCACCCUCACCCUCUCGAUUCCCCCCUUCCCUCUCCGAUGAAACCGCCGGCAAGGAGCCGAUGGCUCCGACCACCCAUAACACACCCCCUCUUCCAAUCUCAGUUACUUAGACCCACACACCUCAAACACCCCCCCUCCGGUGAUUGGCAUACGACGGCUGAACGAGAGAGAGAGAAUAGAUCAGGACGCGACGAGAAUCAGAAGAGAUGAGAGAGAGGCUGGAGCGAGAGAGAGAAACAGCGGGGUGCAGUUUCUGGUGAUGAUCCGCCACUGGCGGCGGAGCCGCAGCGGUGGCGGUGGCGGUUUUGGUUCCGACAAGCUUCCAAUCGGGUUCAGGUUGCGUUUGGCUCAGACUUGGUGAAGAUUCGAGAUGUGUUUUGGCUUGGGUUCGAGCUAUGUUCGGGAAACCGAGUUAUAAUUUAGGUCAGUGGUUCAAAAUGUUCAGAUUUGUGUUGAGUGUUUCAGGAUCUACUCGGAUCAACCACAAGUGUGUUUAGGUCAGAUUCAGCCGGUUCGAGUAUGGUUCAAAGUUUAAGGUUCGGGUCAAGUUUUUGGUGCGGUCAACUUUGGUCAACAGAUUGGUUCGGGUCAACUGGUCAACGGGUUUGGGUCAAGCGGCUUCAGUCAGACUCAGUUAUGGUUUCGGUCGACUCGGUCAAACAUGGUCAAAACAGUUAGUUGACUCGGUCAACUCAACCGGUCAACUCAGUUGACUCAGUCAACUCAGUCAGCAUGUUCGGCAUAUCAACACGCGAGAGAUGGGAUAUUGUAGAAUGCACCCUAGUGAGUCACGUCUUGGAAACGACAUCAUGAAGUUGUAUUUAGCUAGCUUAGCACAAGGAUAUCCAGCCGAUUGAAGAAUAAUCGAAGAUCUUAGGUUUCUUAUUCCAAAAUCCACUGUACGAAUAUACUGAUUAUUCGAACAAUCACGGUAUCAAUAUACUGAUUAUUCGAACAAUCAUGGUUUUCAAGACGAUGGAAAGUUCGUCAAGGUAAUUUAUUAGUAUCAGCAGGUUAUAAGUUUUAAUUUUUGUGUUUGAUAUCUAGAUUUUGUAUUGAUGAUUUCUCAUGUUUGAUUACUAAUUUUGUGUUUUGAUUUUUGAAAUCCCGUUCCUCACUUCUGCCUCCUCAUCUACACCCUCUCAUCUAUCACUCUCCCGCCACCUCCGUCAGCCACGGCUUCCGCCGACAACCGCCACUCCAUUCCCCUCUGUUUUAAGAUCACUCUGUCUUCCUCUCAUAUUGAAAUAUCUCUAUUACCAGUAUCGUUUUACCGGACGGUUUUCUCGAUUCGUUGCCGCGGAAGGAGGUGGAGCCACAUGUCGUGAAUGAAGUUAUUGCUCCGAGCUUUAAGGAUUUUUGGAAGGCUGGUGAUUUUGAUGAGUUUUUGGAUGGUGAUUGUGAUACAAGUCUGGUGAGUGUUAAUGUGUUUGAUAUUUGGGGAUUUGUUUUAAUUUUAUGAUGUCAGAGUGAAUGUUUGUAGAUUAUUUACUAAUUUUGUUUACCUGAUUGAGAUUUUAGGUUAAUUUUUAUUUGAUUCUGAGUUU
RNAcentral lists this long non-coding RNA (1689 nucleotides) under Helianthus annuus (common sunflower). Its description in RNAcentral is "hypothetical non coding rna". Lineage: Eukaryota; Viridiplantae; Streptophyta; Magnoliopsida; Asterales; Asteraceae. The record is from RNAcentral.